AAUAAGUGACUGAACCCAAGGGGAGGCAAGUCGUAACAUGGUAAGUGUACCGGAAGGUGCACUUGGUAAAAU
RNAcentral lists this ribosomal RNA (72 nucleotides) under Oryzias woworae. Its description in RNAcentral is "partial 12S ribosomal RNA". The record is from RNAcentral. Lineage: Eukaryota; Metazoa; Chordata; Actinopteri; Beloniformes; Adrianichthyidae.